Molecule: ribosomal RNA, 493 nt
Filed under: uncultured bacterium
Lineage: Bacteria
Description: partial 16S ribosomal RNA
Rfam family: Bacterial small subunit ribosomal RNA
Source: RNAcentral
GAUGAACGCUGGCGGCGUGCCUAACACAUGCAAGUCGAACGAAGCGCCUUUUAAGAUUCUUCGGAUGAUUGAUCGGUGACUGAGUGGCGGACGGGUGAGUAACGCGUGGGCAACCUGCCCUGUACAGGGGGAUAACAGUUGGAAACGGCUGCUAAUACCGCAUAAGCGCACGAGAGGACAUCCUCUUGUGGGAAAAACUCCGGUGGUACAGGAUGGGCCCGCGGCUGAUUAGCUGGUUGGCAGGGUAACGGCCUACCAAGGCGACGAUCAGUAGCCGGUCUGAGAGGAUGAACGGCCACAUUGGAACUGAGACACGGUCCAAACUCCUACGGGAGGCAGCAGUGGGGAAUAUUGCACAAUGGGGGAAACCCUGAUGCAGCAACGCCGCGUGAGUGAAGAAGUAUUUCGGUAUGUAAAGCUCUAUCAGCAGGGAAGAUAAUGACGGUACCUGACUAAGAAGCCCCGGCUAAAUACGUGCCAGCCGCCGCCGUAA